This 461-nucleotide ribosomal RNA is filed under the name uncultured bacterium. RNAcentral describes it as "partial 16S ribosomal RNA". It matches the Rfam family "Bacterial small subunit ribosomal RNA", at positions 28 to 523 of the family's 1533-position model. The record is from RNAcentral.
GAUGAACGCUGGCGGCGUGCCUAAUACAUGCAAGUCGAGCGGCAGCACGGUCUUCGGACUGGUGGCGAGCGGCGGACGGCUGAGUAACGCGUAGGAACAUGCCCUAAAGUGAGGAAUAACUGCCCGAAAGGGUGGCUAAUGCCGCAUGUGCUCUUCGGAGUAAAGCUUUAUGCGCUUUAGGAGUGGCCUGCGUCCGAUUAGCUAGUUGGUGAGGUAAUUGCUCACCAAGGCGACGAUCGGUAGCUGGUCUGAGAGGAUGAUCAGCCAGACUGGAACUGAGAACGGUCCAGACUCCUACGGGAGGCAGCAGUAGGGAAUUUUCCACAAUGGGCGAGAGCCUGAUGGAGCAACGCCGCGUGCAGGAUGAAUGCCUUAGGGUUGUAAACUGCUUUUAUGUGCGAAGAAUUUGACUGUAACACGUGAAUAGGGAUCGGCUAACUACGUGCCAGCAGCCGCGGUAA